UGAGCAGCUGAGCCACUCCACCACCAGCUGCAAGGGGAAGAUCCUGCCUCUCUCCUCUCUUGCAUGUUCCCACUCAUCCCUUGCACCAACUUGGGUACUUGCAGAGCAGUUUCCUGAGCUGAAUCAACAUGCUAAAAUGGCAGCCCCAUGGUUUGCUGGGGUGGUUUUCUGGUGAGUGAAGGAGCUGGCACAAGACUUGGCACAAGAUUAAUUGACUAACGUGGGGUGAUGUGAAAGCAUGGCAGGGCCUCUGCUUGCUGGCAGAGGAGACUGGAGAAGCAAGCCUGACCAAGGAGAGAGCAGGCUGCUGGAGCCGAGCAGGAGGUGCAGAGUCAUCGGAGCUCUUCAGGGUGGUAAAAGGGGUGAAGACCAUGCACUCUCAUCCAGGCAGACCUCCUUCACACUUUCCCACCUCCCUCAGACCUCCUUCACACUUCCCCACCUCCUUCUCCCACUGAGAAGAGAGCGAGCGAGCCCCAAGCUUUGGCUGCAUCCAGGAGAAUGGGAAGUCUGGUAGACAUCCACUAAGAUGGGAGACCUCAAGGACGUAGGGAUGCCAUGGACUCCUUCCAAAGGAAAGGAAAGCCAAUGCAUGUUCCCCCAGGGAAUCUCGUGCUUUGCAUCCAGAUGUGGUCUCUGGAGCAGUUCUCCAAGAAGUAUCAUGGAUGCUUGGAGGGAACUGGGUCAUAGGUUUCUUACUGAGGAUUGAAGGAAGCCUCAUUCAUUGGUUUUCUUCUUUUUUUUCUUUUGUCCAUUCCUUUUCUUUUAAUGUUCAUCUUCCUUCUUUGGGUAUAAUUUGUUCAUUUCAGCAAUACAGAAAUUGGACUCAUGAUUUCAAAAACCAUUUUAAUUUUUUUUUUCCAAAAGUUGCUUUUAGUUCAGAGGUAGAAUGAAAAUUAAACCUUCUGAAAUUCCCCACAAGAAAAGAUUAUUUUCCUCUGCUCAGUCCUGUGACAAUUCUUGGUUUGGGAACAGUUUGAGGGAAGACUUGAUAGGAUCCAAAACCCUUUCUGCUUCAGACACAUGCAGUGGCUCCUGAAGGCUGACCUGGCUCUGACUCCAUGUGAAAUUCAGGAACACCAUGCUUCUGUAAUUUCUGGCCCUGGGAGGCCCAGAACCCUGCCAAGCUAACAGAUGAGGACAGUGGGCAAGAGUUGAACCCUGCAUGGCAAGUGCAGCUCCAUCAGGAGCAUGGCCUGACGCUGGUGAAGUCCUCCUGAAACUCAGCUGCCUCCAUGGAACACUUUUAUAUAGGUGACUCAGCAACGUCAGGGGCAAUAGAUGUUUUGUCAUGAUCAGAUAUUAAAUAAUUUCUCAUUUGCACAAGACUGGAGGCAGUUAAAACCCUGCACACAGUAAAGGACUUGCUUUCUGUACUACUUGGUAGCAAUUCUAUGCACUGAGCAUAGAUCCCCAGGCUCUAGGAGGGUGGCAGGUCCCCAGGGGGAUUGCUGCAGGUGGGUUAUGCAAAAAAGGCCUCAUGCAUUAUUUCAGACCAUGGUUGUCCUCAGAGAGUUGAUGACAAGGAAGUAAGAUCUGUUGCCAUUGUAGUUUGAAGCCAGUAUUUACUCAAACCUGGUGCAAAGCCUGUUAGUUAGGCUGAGGAUGUAUGACCUCGGUGGCUUUCACUAAGGUAAAGGUUUUCUUUUUCUUAGGUAAUUCCUGUAUCUCUUUUAAAAGAUCAUUGACAGAAAUGAAUACCCACCUGUUAAAAGAAACAUAAUGUUUAACCAGCAGAAAAAUAAAGGUGGAACCCUCCAUUCCUUUUUGUAAAGCAUCUCUGAAAAGAAAAAAAAAAAAGUUUAGGAAGUGGGUGGAAUGCAUAAGAGAUGUAGUGAGCGUAUGUUUAUUCCUGUGUUCUUGCACUAUUUAUUUUUUUUUUUUAGAUCUUCUAAGUUUAUGGAUGGUGAGAGUUUGGAAGGGAAGAAGUAUGGCCAGUGACCUGGGGACUAAUCCAAAAUU
Molecule: non-coding RNA, 1962 nt
Organism: Anas platyrhynchos (mallard)
Lineage: Eukaryota; Metazoa; Chordata; Aves; Anseriformes; Anatidae
Source: RefSeq, a predicted model, not a curated record